This 217-nucleotide unclassified non-coding RNA is filed under the name soil metagenome. RNAcentral's name for it is "partial contains 5.8S ribosomal RNA, internal transcribed spacer 2, and large subunit ribosomal RNA". The record is from RNAcentral.
AAGACUAUAGACCUGCGGAGUACCUGCGGAAGGAUCAUUAUCGAGUUUACAACUCCCAAACCAUUGUGAAUCUUACCUUUUCGUUGCUUCGGCGGGAUCGCCCCGGGCGCUUCGGUGCCCCGGAUUCAGGCGCCCGCCGGGGGACCUAAACUCUUGUAUUAUAGUGGAUUUCUGAGUGGAUUACACAAAUAAUCAAAACUUUCAGCAAUGGAUCUCU